AGUGAACGCUGGCGACAGGCCUAAUACAUGCAAGUCGAACGGCAGCACAGCAGAGCUUGCUCUGUGGGUGGCGAGUGGGCGGACGGGUGAGGAAUACGUGGGAAUCUGCCCAGUCGUGGGGAUAACGUAGGGAAACUUACGCUAAUACCGCAUGCGCCCUUCGGGGAAAGCCGGGGACCUUCGGGCCUGGCGCGAUUGGAUGAGCCCACGUCGGAUUAGCUAGUUGGCGGGUAAAGGCCCACCAAGGCGACGAUCCGUAGCUGGUCUGAGAGGAUGAUCAGCCACACUGGAACUGAGACACGGUCCAGACUCCUACGGGAGGCAGCAGUAGGGAAUAUUGGACAAUGGGCGCAAGCCUGAUCCAGCCAUGCCGCGUGAGUGAAGAAGGCCCUCGGGUUGUAAAG
This 404-nucleotide ribosomal RNA is filed under the name uncultured bacterium. Its description in RNAcentral is "bacterial SSU rRNA". It matches the Rfam family "Bacterial small subunit ribosomal RNA", at positions 29 to 430 of the family's 1533-position model. The record is from RNAcentral.